CAGAAAAUAAUUUAUUUAAAAUAUUAAUUUUGGAGAUUAAAUAUAGAAGUUAUUCUUUUUCUGA
RNAcentral lists this transfer RNA (64 nucleotides) under Staphylinidae sp. BMNH 1274698. Its description in RNAcentral is "tRNA-Pro". The record is from RNAcentral. Lineage: Eukaryota; Metazoa; Arthropoda; Insecta; Coleoptera; Staphylinidae.